RNAcentral lists this ribosomal RNA (1569 nucleotides) under Triticum aestivum (bread wheat). RNAcentral describes it as "partial small subunit ribosomal RNA". The record is from RNAcentral. Lineage: Eukaryota; Viridiplantae; Streptophyta; Magnoliopsida; Poales; Poaceae.
AUGGAUGAGCCGGAGGAGCAACAAGAACAAAUCAAGACACAGGAGAUGCAGGUGGAUGAUGCUGCUUCCUCACUCGCCAAUGCCCUCCUCCUGCACCACAUCAGGGCGGAUGGGGAUGCUGCUUUCUCUCUGCCGCCCGAUGCUCCUCCCACACUCCCCAACAAUCGCCGCCGCGGCAGACCAACCAACAAGAGGCCCCCGCGAAACCCGCUUGGGAGGCCCAGGAGCCACAAAAACCCUGAUUCACACCCAUCCCCACAGCCAACCACCGCUAUCAAGAGACCGCUGGGGAGGCCGGGGAAGGACAAGCAGCCACCAGCCUCUCCUCACCCGACCCCGACCCCGAUUGCAAGGAGGACCAGGGCAGCCACAGCAUCUCCGCACACCCAAGCUGGGCCCAGGACCACAAUGCCGGCGGAGAAGCUGCUAGCAGCAGCAGCAACAACAAUGUCUGCCGGUGCUGCGUCCAGGGGAACCAAGAGGCCACGCGGGAGCCCAGCACAGGGGACGCCGAUGUCCGCUCCUACAAAUGGGCUCAAGAGAGGGCGAUGGAUGCCAGAAAACAACAUGCCAGUUGCUGCUGCGUCCGCGGGGAUCAAGAGAGGGCCUGGGAGGCUGAGGAAGGAGAAGCCAGCGGCAGCAAUGUCUACUCAAGCUGGAGGUGCUGCGUCCGCAGGGAGCAAGAGAGGGCCUGGGAGGCCGAGGAAGGAGAAGCGAGUACCAAGAAUGUGCGCUCAAAGGGUCGGGAGGCCGAGGAAGGAGAAGCCAGUGGCAGCUCAAGCUGGAGGUGCUGCAUCAGCGGGGAUCAAAAGACGGCCUGGGAGGCCAAAAAAGGAGAAGCAAACAGCAAUGCCUGCUGAAGCUCAAUAUGCCUCAUCGGCCGUGGAACCCAACAUAGGGGCUGUGCAGCAAGAAAUGGAGAAGCAAACAGCAGCUGCAAUGCCUGCUGAAGCUCAAGAUGCCGCAUCGGCAGAACCCAACAUAGGGGCUGUGCAGCAAGAAAUGGAGAAGCCGGCAGCAGCAGAAGCUACUCGUCGUCGUAAACAAGAGGAUGAUCUGGCAUCAGCAGGGAAGAAGGCACGGGCUGAAGAAGGUGUAGCUUCAGGGGACGGGGAGGAAACAACUAGGGUUGUAGAUGAUGUAUGUGUGCUGAUUUCUCAAGAGAACACAACGAGUGCUGCUGCUGUGGACACUGCUGAACCUGAGAAUGUUGCUGUUGAUGCUGGAGGCACGACGACUGAAGCUCACCUGGGCUCGGCAGAGAACAUGGAGAGUGCUGCUCCUGUCGAGGAAGGAGGUGAAACUGAAUCUAUCCUUGUGUCUGGAGAUAAAGCAGUGAGUGUCCCUAUCGUGGCAGGAGGCGCCAUGACUGAAGCUAACCUUUGGUCUGUGGAGAAUGCAGCAAGGGCUGCUGCUGUUGAGGCUGGAGUCGUCAUGACUGAAGCUCACCUGGGCUCGGCAGAGAACAUGGAGGGUGCUGCUCCUGUCGAGGAAGGAGGUGAAACUGAAUCUAUCCUUGUGUCUGGAGAUAAAGCAGUGAGUGUUCCUAUCGAGGCUGGCAGAAGCUAA